Molecule: ribosomal RNA, 253 nt
Filed under: uncultured bacterium
Lineage: Bacteria
Description: partial 16S ribosomal RNA
Rfam family: Bacterial small subunit ribosomal RNA
Source: RNAcentral
UACGAACGGUCCAAGCGUUAAUCGGAAUCACUGGGCUUAAAGCGUGCGCAGGCGGACCCGUAAGUAUCUUGUGAAAUCCCACCGCUCAACGGUGGAACUGCAGGGUAUACUGCGGGUCUUGAGGUCGGUAGAGGUCGCCGGAACUGUAGGUGUAGCGGUGAAAUGCGUAGAUAUCUACAGGAACACCCAAGGCGAAGGCAGGCGACUGGGCCGAGCCUGACGCUCAGGCACGAAAGCGUGGGGAGCAAACAGG